This 1273-nucleotide long non-coding RNA is filed under the name Rattus norvegicus (Norway rat). RNAcentral's name for it is "long non-coding RNA NONRATT029355". Lineage: Eukaryota; Metazoa; Chordata; Mammalia; Rodentia; Muridae. The record is from RNAcentral.
UGUCUCCACAUCUCCUCCUGUGAAUAUUUUUGUUCCUCCCUCAAAGAAGGACUGAAGCAUCCACACUUUGGUCUUCCAUCUUGAGCUUCUUGUGGUCUGUGAAUUGUAUCUUGGGUAAUCUGAACUUUUGGGUUAAUAUCCACUUAUCAGUGAGUGCAAACCAUGUGUGGUUUUUUGUGUUUGGGUUACCUCACUCAGGAUGAUAACUUCUAGUUCCAUCCAUUUACCUAUGAAUUUUAUGAAGUCAUUGUUUUUGAUAGCUGAGUAGUACUUAAUUGUGUAAAUAUACCACAUAUUCUAUAUCCAUUCCUCUAUUGAAGGACAUCAGGGUUUUUUUCAAGCUUCUGGCUAUUAUAAAUAAGGCUGCUAUGAACAUAGUGGAGCAUGUGUCCUUGUUAUAUGUUGGAGCAUCUUUUGGGUAUAUGCCCAGAAGAGGUAUAUAUAGAUGGGUCCUCAGGUAGUACUAUAUCCAAUUUUCUGAGGAACCUCCAGACUAGUUUUCAGAGUGGUUGUACCAGUUUGAAAUCCCAUCAACAAUGGAGGAGUGUUCCUCUUCACAUCCUUGCCAGCAUCUGUUGUCACCUGAGUUUUUGAUUUUAUGGAUUCUGACUGGUGUGAGGUAGAAUCUCAGCGUUGGUUUGAUUUGCAUUUCCCUGAUGACUAGGGAUGUUGGACGUUUCUUUAGUUGCUUCUCAGCCAUUUGAUAUUCCUCAGCUGAGAAUUCUUUGUUUAGCUGUAUACCCCAUUUUUAAUAGAGUUAUUUCAUUCUCUGGAGUCUAAUUCUUGAGUACUUUGUACAUGUGGGAUAUUAGCCCUCUAUUGGAGGUAGGAUUGGUAAAGAUCUUUUCCUAAUCUGUUGGUUUCCAUUUUGUCCUAAUGACAGUGUCCUUUGCCUUACAGAAGCUUUGCAGUUUUAUGAGAUCCAUUUGUCGAUUCUUGAUCUUAGAGCAUAAGCCAUUGGUGUUUUGUUCAGGAAAUUUUCUCCAGUGCCCAUGUGUCUGAGAUGCUUCCCCACUUUUUCUUCUAUUAGUUUGAGUGUAUCAGGUUUGAUGUGGAGGUCCUUGAUUCACUUGGACUUGAGCUUUGUACAGGAUGAUAAGAAUGGAUCAAUUUGCAUUCUUCUAUAUGUGGACUUUCAGUUGAACCAGCACCAUUUGUUGAAAAUGCUAUCUUUUUUCCACCGAAUGGUUUUAAUGCCUUUGUCAGAGAUCAAGUGACCUAAGUGUGUGGGUUCAUUUCUGGUUCUUCAAUUCUAUUCCAUUGAUCUACCUGC